UACAUGGGGUGCAACCGUUGCUCGGAAUUAUUGGGCGUAAAGAGCGCGCAGGCGGUCGUUCAAGUCGAGUGUGAAAGCCCCCGGCUCAACUGGGGAGGGUCACUCGAUACUGAUCGACUUGAAGGCAGGAGAGGGAAGCGGAAUUCCCGGUGUAGUGGUGAAAUGCGUAGAUAUCGGGAGGAACACCAGUGGCGAAGGCGGCUUCCUGGCCUGUUCUUGACGCUGAGGCGCGAAAGCUAGGGGAGCAAACGGG
This 253-nucleotide ribosomal RNA is filed under the name uncultured bacterium. Its description in RNAcentral is "partial 16S ribosomal RNA". It matches the Rfam family "Bacterial small subunit ribosomal RNA", at positions 524 to 776 of the family's 1533-position model. The record is from RNAcentral.